Molecule: long non-coding RNA, 199 nt
Filed under: Elaeis guineensis (African oil palm)
Lineage: Eukaryota; Viridiplantae; Streptophyta; Magnoliopsida; Arecales; Arecaceae
Description: long non-coding RNA (EGUI_LNC049835)
Source: RNAcentral
CCGCUCAGAUACAAUGUGUCCUAGCAUGAUUUUCUCUCGAACCAUGAAAUGGCUCUUUUUUUAGCUUAACACCAGAUUCAUCUCCACACACCUUUUAAGUACUUUGGUUAAAUUUGGGAGACAAUCAUCAAAAGUAGGGCCAAAAAUAGAAAAGUCACCCAUGAAAUCUUCUAAAAACUUAUCCACUAUAUCAGAAAAG